UUUGAUCAUGGCUCAGAACGAACGCUGGCGGCGUGCCUAACACAUGCAAGUCGAACGUGAUUGAGAGCUUGCUCUCAUGAAAGUGGCGCACGGGUGAGUAACGCGUAGAUAAUCUACCUGAUGAUCCGGGAUAACACUUCGAAAGGGGUGCUAAUACCUGAUAAGCUCACGGAGUCUUUGGACUCUGCGAGAAAAGGGGGGGACCUAUGGCCUUCCGUCAUCAGAUGAGUCUGCGUACCAUUAGCUAGUUGGUAGGGUAAAGGCCUACCAAGGCGACGAUGGUUAGCUGGUCUGAGAGGAUGAUCAGCCACACUGGAACUGAGACACGGUCCAGACUCCUACGGGAGGCAGCAGUGGGGAAUUUUGCGCAAUGGGGGAAACCCUGACGCAGCAACGCCGCGUGAGUGAUGAAGGCCCUUGGGUCGUAAAGCUCUGACAGAGGGACAGAAAUGUAGAGGGGCUAAUAUCCCCAUUACUUGACGGUACCCUCAAAGGAAGCACCGGCUAACUCCGUGCCAGCAGCCGCGGUAAUACGGGGGGUGCAAGCGUUGUUCGGAUUUAUUGGGCGUAAAGCGCGUGUAGGCGGUCUUAUAAGUCUGAUGUGAAAGCCCUGGGCUCAACCCAGGAAGUGCAUUGGAUACUGUAAGACUUGAAUACGGGAGAGGGCAGUGGAAUUCCUAGUGUAGGAGUGAAAUCCGUAGAUAUUAGGAGGAACACCGGUGGCGAAGGCGGCUGCCUGGACCGAUAUUGACGCUGAGACGCGAAAGCGUGGGUAGCAAACAGGAUUAGAUACCCUGGUAGUCCACGCCGUAAACGAUGAGAACUAUGUGUUGCGGGUAUUGACCCCUGCAGUGCCGUAGCUAACGCAUUAGUUCUCCG
This 879-nucleotide ribosomal RNA is filed under the name uncultured bacterium. Its description in RNAcentral is "bacterial SSU rRNA". It matches the Rfam family "Bacterial small subunit ribosomal RNA", at positions 12 to 871 of the family's 1533-position model. The record is from RNAcentral.